RNAcentral lists this ribosomal RNA (295 nucleotides) under uncultured bacterium. RNAcentral describes it as "partial 16S ribosomal RNA". It matches the Rfam family "Bacterial small subunit ribosomal RNA", at positions 334 to 626 of the family's 1533-position model. The record is from RNAcentral.
CAGUCCUACGGGGGGCAGCAGUGAGGAAUAUUGGUCAAUGGGCGGGAGCCUGAACCAGCCAAGUCGCGUGAGGGAAGACGGUCCUAUGGAUUGUAAACCUCUUUAGGCGGGGAGCAAUGCCGGGCACGUGUGCCCGGAGGGAGAGUACCCGCAGAAUAAGCAUCGGCUAACUCCGUGCCAGCAGCCGCGGUAAUACGGAGGAUGCGAGCGUUAUCCGGAUUUAUUGGGUUUAAAGGGUGCGUAGGCGGAUUUUUAAGUCAGCGGAAAAAUGUGCGGGCUCAAACCGGGCCGGCGG